This 253-nucleotide ribosomal RNA is filed under the name uncultured bacterium. RNAcentral describes it as "partial 16S ribosomal RNA". It matches the Rfam family "Bacterial small subunit ribosomal RNA", at positions 524 to 776 of the family's 1533-position model. The record is from RNAcentral.
UACGAAGGGGGCUAGCGUUGCUCGGAAUUACUGGGCGUAAAGGGAGCGUAGGCGGGUUAUUAAGUUGGAGGUGAAAGCCCAGGGCUCAACCUUGGAAUUGCCUUCAAAACUGAUAACCUAGAGGAUGAUAGAGGUAAGUGGAACUCCGAGUGUAGAGGUGAAAUUCGUAGAUAUUCGGAAGAACACCAGUGGCGAAGGCGACUUACUGGAUCAUUACUGACGCUGAGGCUCGAAAGCGUGGGGAGCAAACAGG